GACGAACGCUGGCGGCGUGCUUAACACAUGCAAGUCGAACGGUAAGGCCCUUCGGGGUACACGAGUGGCGAACGGGUGAGUAACACGUGGGUGAUCUGCCCUGCACUUCGGGAUAAGCCUGGGAAACUGGGUCUAAUACCGGAUAUGACCUCCUUGGGCAUCCUUGGAGGUGGAAAGUUUUUCGGUGAGGGAUGGGCCCGCGGCCUAUCAGCUUGUUGGUGAGGUAGUGGCUCACCAAGGCGACGACGGGUAGCCGGCCUGAGAGGGUGACCGGCCACACUGGGACUGAGAUACUGCCCAGACUCCUACGGGAGGCAGCAGUGGGGAAUAUUGCACAAUGGGCGCAAGCCUGAUGCAGCGACGCCGCGUGAGGGAUGACGGCCUUCGGGUUGUAAACCUCUUUCAGCACCGACGAAGCGCAAGUGACGGUAGGUGCAGAAGAAGGACCGGCCAACUACGUGCCAGCAGCCGCCGUAA
RNAcentral lists this ribosomal RNA (477 nucleotides) under uncultured bacterium. RNAcentral's name for it is "partial 16S ribosomal RNA". It matches the Rfam family "Bacterial small subunit ribosomal RNA", at positions 28 to 523 of the family's 1533-position model. The record is from RNAcentral.